This 335-nucleotide unclassified non-coding RNA is filed under the name soil metagenome. Its description in RNAcentral is "partial contains 5.8S ribosomal RNA, internal transcribed spacer 2, and large subunit ribosomal RNA". The stretch from base 1 to 120 matches the Rfam family "5.8S ribosomal RNA", at positions 35 to 154 of the family's 154-position model. The record is from RNAcentral.
GAUGAAGAACGUAGCGAAAUGCGAUAAGUAAUGUGAAUUGCAGAAUUCAGUGAAUCAUCGAAUCUUUGAACGCACAUUGCGCCCAUUAGUAUUCUAGUGGGCAUGUCUGUUCGAGCGUCAUUUCAACCCUUAAGCCUAGCUUAGUAUUGGGAAUCGACUUUACUGUCGUUCCUCAAAUUCAACGGCGGAUUUAUAGCAAUCUCUGAACGUAGUAAUUUUUUUCCUCGUUUUUGAAAUACUAUAAACCUCAGCCGCUAAACCCCCAAUUUUUCUAUGGUUGACCUCGGAUCAGGUAGGAAUACCCGCUGAACUUAAGCAUAUCAAUAAGCGGAGGA